This 242-nucleotide long non-coding RNA is filed under the name Elaeis guineensis (African oil palm). RNAcentral's name for it is "long non-coding RNA (EGUI_LNC039125)". Lineage: Eukaryota; Viridiplantae; Streptophyta; Magnoliopsida; Arecales; Arecaceae. The record is from RNAcentral.
CCAGAGGUGAGAAUGUUUAAGUGGCACUCAACCAGAGAGCCAGUGAUGAAAUCUAGGAUUUUAGGUGGCUGCAUUCAUGGACAUGUUUUAAUGUGGUACGAACCUAAAUGAUAGGACUAGGAAGAGUGGAACUACAGCACGUUUAAGUUAAUGACUAGGCCAAUAAGUGGCUUGGGUGGGGGUCACUAAAAAAGCAGAAAAAUGAUACUCUUGCCGUCAUGGGUGGUAUAGAAGUUUUACAG